AGAAUGUAUGAUUAAAAGCUGCUAACUUUUACUAUAGCAAUUAAAUUUGUUAACAUUCUU
This 60-nucleotide transfer RNA is filed under the name Mirhipipteryx andensis. Its description in RNAcentral is "tRNA-Ser". The record is from RNAcentral. Lineage: Eukaryota; Metazoa; Arthropoda; Insecta; Orthoptera; Ripipterygidae.